Molecule: ribosomal RNA, 253 nt
Filed under: uncultured bacterium
Lineage: Bacteria
Description: partial 16S ribosomal RNA
Rfam family: Bacterial small subunit ribosomal RNA
Source: RNAcentral
UACGUAGGGGGCGAGCGUUGUCCGGAUUUAUUGGGCGUAAAGAGCGUGUAGGCGGCCAGGUAGGUCUGCUGUGAAAACUCGAGGCUCAACCUCGAGACGUCGGCGGAAACCAUCUGGCUAGAGUCCGGAAGAGGAGAGUGGAAUUCCUGGUGUAGCGGUGAAAUGCGCAGAUAUCAGGAAGAACACCCGUGGCGAAGGCGGCUCUCUGGGACGGUACUGACGCUGAGGAGCGAAAGCGUGGGGAGCAAACAGG